This 921-nucleotide ribosomal RNA is filed under the name uncultured bacterium. Its description in RNAcentral is "bacterial SSU rRNA". It matches the Rfam family "Bacterial small subunit ribosomal RNA", at positions 468 to 1399 of the family's 1533-position model. The record is from RNAcentral.
AGUGACGGUACCUUAGGAGCAAGUCCCGGCUAACUACGUGCCAGCAGCCGCGGUAAUACGUAGGGGGCAAGCGUUAUCCGGAAUUAUUGGGCGUAAAGGGUGCGUAGGUGGCAGAACAAGUCUGGAGUAAAAGGUAUGGGCUCAACCCGUACUGGCUCUGGAAACUGUUCAGCUAGAGAACAGAAGAGGACGGCGGAACUCCAUGUGUAGCGGUAAAAUGCGUAGAUAUAUGGAAGAACACCGGUGGCGAAGGCGGCCGUCUGGCCUGUUGCUGACACUGAAGCACGAAAGCGUGGGGAGCAAAUAGGAUUAGAUACCCUAGUAGUCCACGCCGUAAACGAUGAGAACUAGGUGUUGGGGGAAUAACUCAGUGCCGCAGUUAACGCAAUAAGUUCUCCGCCUGGGGAGUAUGCACGCAAGUGUGAAACUCAAAGGAAUUGACGGGGGCCCGCACAAGCGGUGGAGCAUGUGGUUUAAUUCGAAGCAACGCGAAGAACCUUACCAGGUCUUGACAUCCGGAUAAAGACCUCAGAGAUGAGGGGAUAGAUAUAUCCGAGACAGGUGGUGCAUGGUUGUCGUCAGCUCGUGUCGUGAGAUGUUGGGUUAAGUCCCGCAACGAGCGCAACCCUUGUCGCUAGUUACCAUCAUUAAGUUGGGGACUCUAGCGAGACUGCCAGUGACAAGCUGGAGGAAGGCGGGGAUGACGUCAAAUCAUCAUGCCCCUUAUGACCUGGGCUACACACGUGCUACAAUGGAUGGAGCAGAGGGAAGCGAAGCCGCGAGGUGAAGCAAAACCCAUAAAACCAUUCUCAGUUCGGAUUGUAGUCUGCAACUCGACUACAUGAAGUUGGAAUCGCUAGUAAUCGCGAAUCAGCAUGUCGCGGUGAAUAAGUUCUCGGGCCUUGUACUCACCGCCCGUCA